This 410-nucleotide ribosomal RNA is filed under the name uncultured bacterium. RNAcentral's name for it is "bacterial SSU rRNA". It matches the Rfam family "Bacterial small subunit ribosomal RNA", at positions 358 to 791 of the family's 1533-position model. The record is from RNAcentral.
CGGAUUGGCAUGGGCGCAAGCCUGAUCAGCCUGCCGCGUGAGUGAUGAAGGCCCUAGGGUUGUAAAGCUCUUUUGUGCGGGAAGAUAAUGACGGUACCGCAAGAAUAAGCCCCGGCUAACUUCGUGCCAGCAGCCGCGGUAAUACGAAGGGGGCUAGCGUUGCUCGGAAUCACUGGGCGUAAAGGGUGCGUAGGCGGGUCUUUAAGUCAGGGGUGAAAUCCUGGAGCUCAACUCCAGAACUGCCCUUGAUACUGAGGAUCUUGAGUUCGGGAGAGGUGAGUGGAACUGCGAGUGUAGAGGUGAAAUUCGUAGAUAUUCGCAAGAACACCAGUGGCGAAGGCGGCUCACUGGCCCGAUACUGACGCUGAGGCACGAAAGCGUGGGGAGCAAACAGGAUUAGAUACCCUGGU